UUGACGGGAACCCGCACAAGCGGUGGAGUAUGUUGUUAAUUCGAAGAUACACGAAGAACCUUACCAGGUCUUGACAUACCAUUGACAGGUGUAGAGAUACACCCUCCUUCGGGCAAUGGAUACAGGUGGUGCAUGGUUGUCGUCAGCUCGUGCCGUGAGGUGUUGGGUUAAGUCCCGCAACGAGCGCAACCCUCGACCUUAGUUGCCAGCAUUCAGUUGGGCACUCUAAGGUGACUGCCGGCUAAAAGUCGGAGGAAGGUGGGAUGACGUCAAAUCAUCAUGCCCCUUAUGACCUGGGCUACACACGUGCUACAAUGGGCGGUACAAAGGGUCGCGAACCCGCGAGGGGGAGCCAAUCCCAAGAAGCCGCUCUCAGUUCGGAUUGCAGGCUGCAACUCGCCUGCAUGAAGCCGGAAUCGCUAGUAAUCGCGGAUCAGCAUGCCGCGGUGAAUACGUUCCCGGGCCUU
This 467-nucleotide ribosomal RNA is filed under the name uncultured Anoxybacillus sp. RNAcentral's name for it is "bacterial SSU rRNA". It matches the Rfam family "Bacterial small subunit ribosomal RNA", at positions 910 to 1382 of the family's 1533-position model. Lineage: Bacteria; Bacillati; Bacillota; Bacilli; Caryophanales; Anoxybacillaceae. The record is from RNAcentral.